GUGAGGAAUAUUGGUCAAUGGACGUAAGUCUGAACCAGCCAAGUAGCGUGCAGGAUGAAGGCCCUCCGGGUCGUAAACUGCUUUUGGGUGAGGGUAAAAGGCGGGACGUGUCCUGCGUAUUGCAAGUAUCACCCGAAUAAGGACCGGCUAAUUCCGUGCCAGCAGCCGCGGUAAUACGGAAGGUCCGGGCGUUAUCCGGAUUUAUUGGGUUUAAAGGGAGCGCAGGCGGUUCUUCAAGUCAGCUGUGAAAACGCGGGGCUCAACCUCGCGCCUGCAGUUGAUACUGUUGAACUUGAGUGCACACAGGGAUGUUGGAAUUCAUGGUGUAGCGGUGAAAUGCUUAGAUAUCAUGAAGAACUCCGAUCGCGAAGGCAUAUGUCCGGUGUGUGACUGACGCUGAGGCUCGAAAGCGCGGGUAUCGAACAGGAUUAGAUACCCUUGUAGUCC
Molecule: ribosomal RNA, 447 nt
Filed under: uncultured Prevotellaceae bacterium
Lineage: Bacteria; Pseudomonadati; Bacteroidota; Bacteroidia; Bacteroidales; Prevotellaceae
Description: bacterial SSU rRNA
Rfam family: Bacterial small subunit ribosomal RNA
Source: RNAcentral